GGAUUAGAUACCCUGGUAGUCCACGCCGUAAACGAUGAGCACUAGGUGUCGCGGUCAUUGACAACUGCGGUGCCGUAGCUAACGCGUUAAGUGCUCCGCCUGGGGAGUACGGCCGCAAGGCUAAAACUCAAAGGAAUUGACGGGGGCCCGCACAAGCGGUGGAGCAUGUGGUUUAAUUCGACGCAACGCGCAGAACCUUACCAGGGCUAGAAAAACUAGGAACCUGCCAGAGACGGCGGGGUGCCCGCAAGGGAACCUAGGUCCAGGUGCUGCAUGGCUGUCGUCAGCUCGUGCCG
This 296-nucleotide ribosomal RNA is filed under the name uncultured bacterium. Its description in RNAcentral is "partial 16S ribosomal RNA". It matches the Rfam family "Bacterial small subunit ribosomal RNA", at positions 775 to 1067 of the family's 1533-position model. The record is from RNAcentral.